This is an RNA transcript of Limulus polyphemus (Atlantic horseshoe crab), 2022 nucleotides long. RefSeq lists it as uncharacterized. The transcript has 5 exons. Lineage: Eukaryota; Metazoa; Arthropoda; Merostomata; Xiphosura; Limulidae. The record is from RefSeq and is a predicted model, not a curated record.
AGAAAGCUCUUCUAGCUAGCAGAGAAUAGCUUGAGAAACUGGGUUUGAAGAAAGAGCGCACUCAUCUUGGAGUUAUUAUUCUUUGUUUGUUGAUCGAUCACCUUCAAGACUUCGAACGUUUUCAUUUGUAGGAGAAUAACAGUUAACUCCGAACAACGUAGGCACUUCAAAACAGCAAUGAGAAGAGAAACUAAAACCGGAAUUUUUCUGAGCAUUGUCUUAUGUUUCUUUGUGGCAAUAUCAGCUGAAGAAGAUCUUAGAAAAUUUUUAGAAGAAAUAACCGAGAAGAGGAAAACACUCUCCUACAUAAAAAGUUUGAUUAAUAAACUGGACAACAACUUCGUGAUGCUUAAAAAACGAACUUGUAAAAUGAAUGCAGGAAUGACCCACGGUUGCGACUACACUGAAUUCCUUAAGGCUCAACAAGACCAUGAAUUCUGGGCCAACAGGUUUUCACCUGGUAGACGUCGAAGGUCCGUGUAAGAUUAAUUAACAUUUAAGGGAAUUUUCUUUCCUUUUGAAGACGAAGAGGAUGUGAUUUGUAUACUUUAAGAGCAUCUAAUUGCAGUUAUAUAUUUCAAAUUACAUUUCUUUUUUAGGUUCUUCAUUCAAGUAUUGCUAAACUUAGGAAAAAAAAUAGUUUUUGUGAUUUAUGUAUUUUCGACAAUCUGUAUGUCAAAACUUGGAUUGAAAUAUAUUAUCUCAAAAUAUUUACGUUUUCAUAGUUACAAAAGUACUUCAGUAAAAUAAACAAUUUCAUUUUUCCUACUUCACCCAGAAGUCCAAAUUUAGUUCCAGCAACCAAACCUGUAUGUGUCAUCUAAAUCUAUACUUUAUAGAUAGGAGUUAGCAUUCGUUUAUAGCCUGUGCAAGUGACAGUGUUUCGUAUGCUAGGAAUGAGUAAUAAUAGUAACGUUAAUGUUACAAAAUCCAAGAACAAAUACAUUCACCGAAUUGUCACUAGUUGAAAAGAUUGAUGAAGGAUUAUUUAGAAUAGAGAAAAAUGUAUUAUAGCGUUUUUCAUUUAAUUUAUCUUUAUUUUUAAAAGAACUGAUUUCUGUUAUUAAUUGCUAAUUUAAUGGCUUGACGCACAACUUUUUCUAGUUCAAAACUGACUUAAAUAUACGCUAAACUCGAUACUGACGUUAGUGAUAUUGUCUUAGCCAUCUUUUCGUAAUUUUAAUUAAUUAUUAAUUUUUAUGUUUAUUAUGCUAAUUGCUCUGAUAAAAACUUGAUUUUUUAUUCUUUACCCAUCAUCUCCCUGAAACAGACUUCUACAACAGAAACUCAGUUAGUCAUGAGUAGUGGUUCAAUAGCAGCCCGGUGACAUCGUACCUGGUAAGGAUGAGAAGUUCUAUAAUUCGCGCCCUAUUAUCACCAAAAUAUAAUCACGCUUCGCAUUUUGGGGCCGUGGUUGUGUUUUAAAAGUGAUGAUCCAAUCCCACUAUUCAAAUAGAACAACCCACGAUUUGAUGUUGCUUGUGUUUUAAAAGUGAUGAUCCAAUCCCACUAUUCAAAUAGAACAACCCACGAUUUGAUGUUGCGUAAGGGCUUUCGUUCUAGCCUAUCACUUCAAAAUUAGGUUAGUGCAGAUAGCACUCGAGUAGCAUUGCACAAUAAACAAAACAACUUGGUUUUAUAUUGUGAGAUGAACCUUUAUUUAAUACAGUAUUUAAAUUCAUGGACGACAGUAUUUUGGUUUAUUUACAUACUUUUAAUAUAUAUGAUCUAGAUGUAUUAUCAUUUUACUUUUCCCAUUUCGUUACUUUAAUGUCACGAUAAGAGGCUGAAACUAACCACCAUAGCAUUUUACUGUAACCACCUAAGGCUGAAACUAACCACCAUAGCAUUUUACUGUAACCACCUAAGUUUCUUUCUCAAAAGAUGUUGUAUAAGGAAUAUAAAGAAUAUUAAGUUUCUAUUGAUUAUUUAAUAACAAUGACGUUACUCCAACGUGUUUGAGUAACACUGUUUGAUUUGGAGACACUAUUUUGGGCUAGUUGUGUAAUAAAAUGUUUUGUG